UUAACUAUUUUAUAUGAACUCAGACAGUACAAAAUAGAGAAUUAAGGGUCCUCUGGUGGGCACACACCAGCGCAAGGCCAGUAGUCAAAAGACAGGCCCACCAAAGCAACAGGUAUUAUAAACAAAGGGUGGGAGAUAUACCCUAGCAGGUAUGUUCUCUGUAAUGAUCCUUCCGCAGGUUCACCUACGGAACACAAACUCAUACUCUUUUUCAAGAAUAGGCCGGUCAUAUCUGAAUCUCAAAUUUUGGAAUGAGACCACCUUCGUUUGAUCUGUGCACUGUAGUUAACAGCUGCAUGUUACCUAAAAGACAUCCAAGCACAGUAAAGGUGUCGCCUACAGUUGUAGGCUGAAAUCCAAGGCUUCACAAGUAGGCAUACCAUUUAGCAUAUGUUCUAUAAAA
RNAcentral lists this unclassified non-coding RNA (403 nucleotides) under uncultured fungus. Its description in RNAcentral is "sequence contains ITS1". The record is from RNAcentral. Lineage: Eukaryota; Fungi.